Molecule: ribosomal RNA, 266 nt
Filed under: uncultured bacterium
Lineage: Bacteria
Description: partial 16S ribosomal RNA
Rfam family: Bacterial small subunit ribosomal RNA
Source: RNAcentral
GUCCACGCUGUAAACGAUGACGACUAGGUGUGGGGGUUCAGUCCCCUCCGUGCCGCAGCUAACGCAUUAAGUCGUCCGCCUGGGGAGUACGGCCGCAAGGUUGAAACUCAAAGGAAUUGACGGGGCCCGCACAAGCGGUGGAGCAUGUGGUUCAAUUCGAUGCAGAGCGAAGAACCUUACCUGGGCUUGACAUGCAGGAAGUAGAAACCGGAAACGGCGACGACCUGUUAAGUCAGGAACCUGCACAGGUGGUGCAUGGCUGUCGU